UAGGUUAAUGAUGACCAUUGCUGUUGUAUGUAUGUGCUAUUGAUUGUGCCUGCAGGUCUGGGAGUCUGAGGUCCAC
RNAcentral lists this small nucleolar RNA (76 nucleotides) under Neotoma lepida (desert woodrat). RNAcentral describes it as "Small nucleolar RNA SNORD113/SNORD114 family". It matches the Rfam family "Small nucleolar RNA SNORD113/SNORD114 family". Rfam says of the family: The imprinted human domain at 14q32 contains two clusters of tandemly repeated small nucleolar RNAs named 14q(I) and 14q(II) snoRNAs. Lineage: Eukaryota; Metazoa; Chordata; Mammalia; Rodentia; Cricetidae. The record is from Rfam by way of RNAcentral.